UUGUAUCCCAUAUGAGUGCUUACCAA
RNAcentral lists this non-coding RNA (26 nucleotides) under Homo sapiens (human). The record is from RNAcentral. Lineage: Eukaryota; Metazoa; Chordata; Mammalia; Primates; Hominidae.